Molecule: non-coding RNA, 23 nt
Filed under: Arabidopsis thaliana (thale cress)
Lineage: Eukaryota; Viridiplantae; Streptophyta; Magnoliopsida; Brassicales; Brassicaceae
Source: RNAcentral
AAACCCUAAGGGGAUGAUGUGUA